RNAcentral lists this ribosomal RNA (2893 nucleotides) under Acinetobacter baumannii. RNAcentral describes it as "23S ribosomal RNA". Lineage: Bacteria; Pseudomonadati; Pseudomonadota; Gammaproteobacteria; Moraxellales; Moraxellaceae. The record is from RNAcentral.
AGUCAAGUAAUUAAGUGCAUGUGGUGGAUGCCUUGGCAGUCAGAGGCGAUGAAAGACGUGAUAGCCUGCGAAAAGCUCCGGGGAGGCGGCAAAUAUCCUUUGAUCCGGAGAUGUCUGAAUGGGGGAACCCACCUACUUUAAGGUAGGUAUUGCAACAUGAAUACAUAGUGUUGCAAGGCGAACGAGGGGAAGUGAAACAUCUCAGUACCCUUAGGAAAAGAAAUCAAUUGAGAUUCCCUCAGUAGCGGCGAGCGAACGGGGAUCAGCCCAUUAAGUUAUGUGUGUUUUAGUGGAACGCUCUGGGAAGUGCGAACGUAGAGGGUGAUAUUCCCGUACACGAAAGGGCACACAUAAUGAUGACGAGUAGGGCGAGGCACGUGAAACCUUGUCUGAAUAUGGGGGGACCAUCCUCCAAGGCUAAAUACUCCUGACUGACCGAUAGUGAACCAGUACCGUGAGGGAAAGGCGAAAAGAACCCCUGUGAGGGGAGUGAAAUAGAUCCUGAAACCGCAUGCAUACAAGCAGUGGGAGCACCUUCGUGGUGUGACUGCGUACCUUUUGUAUAAUGGGUCAGCGACUUAUAUUCAGUAGCRAGGUUAACCGUAUAGGGGAGCCGUAGAGAAAUCGAGUCUUAAUAGGGCGUUUAGUUGCUGGGUAUAGACCCGAAACCAGGCGAUCUAUCCAUGAGCAGGUUGAAGGUUGGGUAACACUAACUGGAGGACCGAACCCACUGUCGUUGAAAAGCCAGGGGAUGACUUGUGGAUAGGGGUGAAAGGCUAAUCAAGCCUGGUGAUAGCUGGUUCUCCCCGAAAGCUAUUUAGGUAGCGCCUCGGACGAAUACCAUAGGGGGUAGAGCACUGUUUCGGCUAGGGGGUCAUCCCGACUUACCAAACCGAUGCAAACUCCGAAUACCUAUGAGUACUAUCCGGGAGACAGACUGCGGGUGCUAACGUCCGUAGUCAAGAGGAAAACAAUCCAGACCGCCAGCUAAGGCCCCAAAAUCAUAGUUAAGUGGGAAACGAUGUGGGAAGGCAUAGACAGCUAGGAGGUUGGCUUAGAAGCAGCCACCCUUUAAAGAAAGCGUAAUAGCUCACUAGUCGAGUCGGCCUGCGCGGAAGAUGUAACGGGGCUAAAACUAUGUGCCGAAGCUGCGGAUKURNACWUUGUMWANGUGGUAGGGGAGCGUUCUGUAAGCCGAUGAAGGUGURUUGAGAAGYAUGCUGGAGGUAUCAGAAGUGCGAAUGCUGACGUGAGUAACGACAAAACGGGUGAAAAACCCGUUCGCCGAAAGACCAAGGGUUCCAGUCCAACGUUAAUCGGGGCUGGGUGAGUCGACCCCUAAGGCGAGGCCGAAAGGCGUAGUCGAUGGGAAAAUGGUUAAUAUUCCAUUACUUCUGUGUAAUGCGAUGAGAGGACGGAGAAGGCUAAAUCAGCCUGGCGUUGGUUGUCCAGGUGAAAGGAUGUAGGCAUGUAUCUUAGGCAAAUCCGGGGUACUCUAUGCUGAGAUCUGAUAGCAAGCUGUACUUGUACAGCGAAGUGGUUGAUGCCAUGCUUCCAGGAAAAGUCUCUAAGCUUCAGUUACACAGGAAUCGUACCCGAAACCGACACAGGUGGUCAGGUCGAGUAGACCAAGGCGCUUGAGAGAACUCUGCUGAAGGAACUAGGCAAAAUGGUACCGUAACUUCGGGAGAAGGUACGCUGUUGUUGGUGAUGGAACUCGCUUCCUGAGCUGACGACAGCCGCAGAAACCAGGCCGCUGCAACUGUUUAUUAAAAACAUAGCACUCUGCAAACACGAAAGUGGACGUAUAGGGUGUGAUGCCUGCCCGGUGCUGGAAGGUUAAUUGAUGGGGUUAGCGUAAGCGAAGCUCUUGAUCGAAGCCCCAGUAAACGGCGGCCGUAACUAUAACGGUCCUAAGGUAGCGAAAUUCCUUGUCGGGUAAGUUCCGACCUGCACGAAUGGCAUAAUGAUGGCGGCGCUGUCUCCAGCAGAGGCUCAGUGAAAUCGAAAUCGCUGUGAAGAUGCAGUGUACCCGCGGCUAGACGGAAAGACCCCGUGAACCUUUACUGCAGCUUGACACUGAACUUUGACCUUACUUGUGUAGGAUAGGUGGGAGGCUUUGAAGCUGGAACGCUAGUUCCAGUGGAGCCGUCCUUGAAAUACCACCCUGGUAAUGUUGAGGUUCUAACUCUGUCCCGUGAUCCGGGACGAGGACCGUGUCUGGUGGGUAGUUUGACUGGGGCGGUCUCCUCCUAAAGAGUAACGGAGGAGUACGAAGGUGCGCUCAGCGUGGUCGGAAAUCACGCGUAGAGUAUAAAGGCAAAAGCGCGCUUAACUGCGAGACCCACAAGUCGAGCAGGUACGAAAGUAGGUCUUAGUGAUCCGGUGGUUCUGUAUGGAAGGGCCAUCGCUCAACGGAUAAAAGGUACUCUGGGGAUAACAGGCUGAUACCGCCCAAGAGUUCAUAUCGACGGCGGUGUUUGGCACCUCGAUGUCGGCUCAUCUCAUCCUGGGGCUGAAGCAGGUCCCAAGGGUAUGGCUGUUCGCCAUUUAAAGAGGUACGCGAGCUGGGUUUAGAACGUCGUGAGACAGUUCGGUCCCUAUCUACCGUGGGCGCUGGAAAUUUGAGAGGAUCUGCUCCUAGUACGAGAGGACCAGAGUGGACGAACCUCUGGUGUACCGGUUGUGACGCCAGUCGCAUCGCCGGGUAGCUAUGUUCGGAAGGGAUAACCGCUGAAAGCAUCUAAGCGGGAAGCCUACCUCAAGAUAAGAUUUCCCUAGGACUUUAUGUCCUCUAAAGAGCCGUUCGAGACUAGGACGUUGAUAGGUUGGAUGUGGAAGCAUAGUGAUAUGUGAAGCUGACCAAUACUAAUUGCUCGUGAGGCUUGACUAU